RNAcentral lists this ribosomal RNA (463 nucleotides) under uncultured bacterium. Its description in RNAcentral is "bacterial SSU rRNA". It matches the Rfam family "Bacterial small subunit ribosomal RNA", at positions 46 to 500 of the family's 1533-position model. The record is from RNAcentral.
GCCUAACACAUGCAAGUCGAGGGGUAACAGAAGAAAGCUUGCUUUCUUGCUGACGACCGGCGAACGGGUGCGUAACACGUAUGUAACCUACCUAUAACAGGAGAAUAGCCUACUGAAAAGUGGAUUAAUACUCCAUAAUAUACAUAAAAGGCAUCUUUUUUGUAUUAAAGCUCCGGCGGUUAUAGAUGGACAUGCGGAACAUUAGCUUGUUGGUGAGGUAACGGCUCACCAAGGCAACGAUGUUUAGGGGGUCUUAGAGGAUGAUCCCCCACACUGGUACUGAGACACGGACCAGACUCCUACGGGAGGCAGCAGUGAGGAAUAUUGCGCAAUGGAGGAAACUCUGACGCAGCCAUGCCGCGUGCAGGAAGACGGCCUUAUGGGUUGUAAACUGCUUUUAUAUGCCAAGAAAACCUAGUACGUGUACUAGACUGACGGUAGCAUAUGAAUAAGGAUCGGCUAA